Molecule: long non-coding RNA, 1695 nt
Organism: Dromaius novaehollandiae (emu)
Lineage: Eukaryota; Metazoa; Chordata; Aves; Casuariiformes; Dromaiidae
Exons: 3
Source: RefSeq, a predicted model, not a curated record
GUUGCCUUAGAGCAAUUUCUCCCUCGUCAUCCCUUUUCCCCUUACAGUUUGCUGUCACUACCGACUACGGGCCAGACUGUGCACUUCUAAGAAUCCUUCAGAUGGAGUCAGUGGGACUGCUCAUAUGAACUUCUGCCUUCCUACAUGUGAACUUCAAAGCCUUUGAUAGUCGUGAAGCAUCAGAGGAGCCUUUAUGCUAAGUAAAACCUAUGUGAAAAGAGCACUGCUUCUGAUCCCACCAGGAGCUGCUAUACAUCCCACUCUUUCUUAUCUUUUUCAUCCUCUGAGCCUGGAUAAAGCAGUCAGUCCGCAUUUGUUUGGGUGGUCAUGGCUAUACCUUUACUAUGCUGUGUAAGCAAAACCCAUUAUACUGCUUACCUGCUGGGCUUGCAGGCCAACCUGGAUACUGUGCUGUGAACCAGCCUAGUUGGUCCUUUGCUAGAUGGCUAUGCUCUGCGCUUUAGGACCCUGCACAUGUGGCAGAGUGCACAGAGCAGCUUCCUUCCGUCCCAGCCUCCCUUACAGUGUCAUCAGGCAGACAGGUUGGCUAAAGAAAGGUUACCUAAAAGGACAUCAUGACCACCAAGAGCUGGGACUUAGGGGCAGCAGCUCCCAAGAACAGGUGCUAUGUGGAUACAGCCAGUAUGAUGGAGUGGGGAAUUUCUUCCCUAUAGCAGAACCAAUGAUGAGGGCUACAGAAUUAGGGAAUGACACAGCAUGUCAAUGACUAUCGUGUUCUUGGUGGAUGAUUUGCAAGGGGCCAAAGUAGCAAAGGCUGAUAUGUUCAAGCCUCACUCAUUCAGUGCAACACAAGAGACUCAGCAGGGGCUGACAGAAGCUGCUGCCUGGGUGGCGGGGAGGUGGCCUGGGCAGGCUAGUAGACCCUGGGAGAGGUGGCAUGGCCAUCAGCAGAUUGCGAUGUGCCCAUGUCUCGCUAUUUCUUUCCUCAGGUGCUGUCAGAGUGGAGAAGCUGCAGUCUAGUAGGACAGGCCAUGGCGUAGCCAGAGGAAGCGCUGAAGUAGUAUAGACGCCUCAAGAGAAAGUGUCUAUGAAGAGCGAACAAAUAGCAUUGGGGACUUUGCCGGGAGAAAGCAAUGCAACAGAGAGUCAGUCUUGGACAUCUCUCCAUUGCAAAUGUUGUCACAUGCCUAAAGCCACUGGGAAAUGUUUCAUUUUUGACAAAAAAGUGGAUGAAGGCAAUCUGUCCUCCUCCUCCCCCCACCCAAGAACAAACUUCAAGCAAAAUUUGGUCAGAAAUAUUCUGGCUGAUUCCUAGAUCCAACCAGAAAGUGGCAGAGGAAAGACAAACCCGAAGUGCCUUUACAUCAGCUAGUACAAAAACUGUUUCCAGCUCUGGAUUUCAAGACUGUGGCCAGAUCUGGCAGGUGAUAUCUGGAGGAAAUGUGGGGGAAUAUAGGGGAGUUGAGUUUGGCCUGUUUCUAAAAUCCAUGUGCAAGAGUCUUCAUGUACAUGCUUCAUAAGCCCACAGUAAAUACCAUAAUUUUCCCAUUUCACAAAGUUAAAUGCCCACAUGCCCACCUGCACACAGAAAAAUUGAUCCAGGUGCAAUUGGGAUUCAGACAGCCUGUGGAGUUUAGAAAGGUCAUUUUCAGACUGGGGAGAGAUUGAGGGUGUUGCUGUUAAUCGAAGAAAGGAUAUUUAACAUCUUUCUGACAAUAAACAAUGCAAAUAACA